UGUGAAAGAUUAGGGCCAGUGGUUCUACAGGAAAUGGAAUUGCAGGAAGUUCAGGCUGGAAUUUAGGGUUUGGAGUGUUACGAUCAUGUUCCCAAGAAAACAACAUAACUAUUGGAAUAAAUGUAGAUUUUUGUACAUGAGUAAAUGUGGAUAUUUGUACAUGAAUAAAUGUAGAUUGUUGUACAUGAAAACAAUAAGACAUCCUCUGAAAAUAAGCCCUAGUGUAUCUUUUGGGGCAAAAUGGAUAGAAGAACUGGUCUUAUUUGGGGGGCAAUACAUUAGGUGACUGACUUAAGGAUAUUUAGUAACAAUCUUUUGCCUAAUUUUGGAAUUAAAUUGCUAGAUGGGUAUUGAACCAAUACCCAGGUCUGGGACUGUGUAUUCUUGAGUUUUUUUCUUUUCUUAGGCUUUUGAGUUAGGUAUGUACUGUGUAAGCAAAGGUGAAUCAAAUGGAUUUCUUCCAUGUCUCCAUCCUAGCAGCAUGGCUGUUUUCACCCUUUCUGUGUGAGGGCCAGACUGUUCACUUUUACUGCAAUCAAGGAGAACUUGUCUCUAUGCAUACCAUUUGGGAAGAAGCAAGCACCCCUCUCUCUCCCACGGAGCUUGUUGUCCCAGGACCAGCCCCUCUGCUCAUUUCUUUGAUCCUUCCCUAAGUUUUGGAUGCCACUACCCAAUCAUAGCCCUUUAAUGAGGAUUAAUGUGGACCAUGCUCUCAGGCUGCAAGGUACAGUGCCUGUUUAGGUUGGGCCACUUAAUAAAUGGAGGCCAUUAUUAAU
This 776-nucleotide long non-coding RNA is filed under the name Chinchilla lanigera (long-tailed chinchilla). RNAcentral describes it as "lncRNA (ENSCLAG00000023500.1)". The record is from RNAcentral. Lineage: Eukaryota; Metazoa; Chordata; Mammalia; Rodentia; Chinchillidae.